Molecule: ribosomal RNA, 484 nt
Filed under: uncultured bacterium
Lineage: Bacteria
Description: partial 16S ribosomal RNA
Rfam family: Bacterial small subunit ribosomal RNA
Source: RNAcentral
AUUGAACGCUGGCGGCAGGCCUAACACAUGCAAGUCGAGCGGAUGAAGGGAGCUUGCUCCUGGAUUCAGCGGCGGACGGGUGAGUAAUGCCUAGGAAUCUGCCUGGUAGUGGGGGAUAACGUCCGGAAACGGGCGCUAAUACCGCAUACGUCCUGAGGUAGAAAGUGGGGGAUCUUCGGACCUCACGCUAUCAGAUGAGCCUAGGUCGGAUUAGCUAGUUGGUGGGGUAAAGGCCUACCAAGGCGACGAUCCGUAACUGGUCUGAGAGGAUGAUCAGUCACACUGGAACGGAGACACGGUCCAGACUACUACGGGAGGCAGCAGUGGGGAAUAUUGGACAAUGGGCGAAAGCCUGAUCCAGCCAUGCCGCGUGUGUGAAGAAGGUCUUCGGAUUGUAAAGCACUUUAAGUUGGGAGGAAGGGCAGUAAGUUAAUACCUUGCUGUUUUGACGUUACCAACAGAAUAAGCACCGGCUAACUUCGUG